Salvia hispanica is the source of this 275-nucleotide non-coding RNA. The record is from RefSeq and is a predicted model, not a curated record. Lineage: Eukaryota; Viridiplantae; Streptophyta; Magnoliopsida; Lamiales; Lamiaceae.
UCAGAAUUUGACUUGCCCUCUUUGCUGAAUUUUUGGUCUCCUAUUGUCAAAGAAGGGAGGAAGAAACAACUUGGCUGCCACUCAGCUGUCCCAGAAUGUGGGCCCGACGGGCUGAUCGGAUACGGGCCGCGGUGGGGGUGCGACAUGGGCUCGGGAGAAAGAGGCCCAAAGAACUUUUCCUUUGUAUUUUACAUUCUUUCUUCUAAUUUCAUGUUUCAAUUAUGUAAGAUAAAUAGUAAGUCCAGAGAUGCGUACAUAAAUUUUCAUUCGUGACA